RNAcentral lists this ribosomal RNA (504 nucleotides) under Pallenopsis sp. JA-2009. Its description in RNAcentral is "partial 16S ribosomal RNA". It matches the Rfam family "Archaeal large subunit ribosomal RNA", at positions 1908 to 2669 of the family's 2987-position model. Lineage: Eukaryota; Metazoa; Arthropoda; Pycnogonida; Pantopoda; Pallenopsidae. The record is from RNAcentral.
GUCUUAUUGUAUAUAAUAAUAAGUUUAACCUGCCCACUGAAAAUAUAAUUUUAAAUGGCCGCAGUAUAUUAACUGUGCAAAGGUAGCAUAAUAAUUUGUCUUUUAAUUGGAGACUGGAAUGAAUGGUUGGACGUGAAAAUUACUGUCUCUACUUUUAAUGUUGAAUUUUACUUUUAAGUGAAAAGGCUUAAAUUUUAUUAAGGGACGAGAAGACCCCAUCAAGUUUUAUAAAUUUAAAUAUUUAUAUUUUCAUAUGUAAUUAUUUAGUUUAUUUUUCUGGGGCGGAAGGAAUAGUAUAUCUUUUUUUAAAGUUUGAAUAACUAUUAAGUUUAUUAUUGAAUUUUUAUUAUAAAUUAUAUGAAUAAAUUACUGUGGGGGUAACAGCGUUAUUUCUUUUUAGAGUUCAUAUUAAUAAAGAAGAUUGCGACCUCGAUGUUGGAUUAAUUUUUCCUAAUGGUGAAGAAGCUAUAAUAGGUAAGUCUGUUCGACUUUUAAAAAAUUACA